RNAcentral lists this ribosomal RNA (301 nucleotides) under uncultured bacterium. Its description in RNAcentral is "partial 16S ribosomal RNA". It matches the Rfam family "Bacterial small subunit ribosomal RNA", at positions 509 to 807 of the family's 1533-position model. The record is from RNAcentral.
CAGUCGCCGCGGUAAUACGUAGGUGGCAAGCGUUGUCCGGAAUUACUGGGCGUAAAGCGCACGCAGGCGGUUUGUUAAGUCAGAUGUGAAAUCCCCGAGCUUAACUUGGGAACUGCAUUUGAAACUGGCAAGCUAGAGUCUUGUAGAGGGGGGUAGAAUUCCAGGUGUAGCGGUGAAAUGCGUAGAGAUCUGGAGGAAUACCGGUGGCGAAGGCGGCCCCCUGGACGAAGACUGACGCUCAGGUACGAAAGCGUGGGGAGCAAACAGGAUUAGAUACCCCAGUAGUCCCUGUCUCUUAUAC